RNAcentral lists this ribosomal RNA (243 nucleotides) under uncultured bacterium. RNAcentral describes it as "partial 16S ribosomal RNA". It matches the Rfam family "Bacterial small subunit ribosomal RNA", at positions 29 to 300 of the family's 1533-position model. The record is from RNAcentral.
AACGAACGCUGGCGGCAGGCUUAACACAUGCAAGUCGAGCGCCCCGCAAGGGGAGCGGCAGACGGGUGAGUAACGCGUGGGAAUCUACCUUUUGCUACGGAAUAACUCAGGGAAACUUGUGCUAAUACCGUAUGUGCCCUUCGGGGGAAAGGAUUUAUCGGCAAAGGAUGAGCCCGCGUUGGAUUAGCUAGUUGGUGGGGUAAAGGCCCACCAAGGCGACGAUCCAUAGCUGGUCUGAGAGGA